UGAGUUGUACAGCACUUGCUUCGUGUUCUUGCUGUCUGGAUUGCAGUUCUCAGAUCGGAAACAGGGAACUUGAUUGGAAGUCAUUUCAGAUCAUCACUGUUUUAUCUUUCAAGUGUGGACUACCAAAAGAUUGAACUUGAUUGUCACACGACUGGACAGUAUUUUCCAGGCUCCUUUUCAGUGAUGUGUGGCCACUUGCCUUAAAUCCAGCUAAUUGAAUAUGAAGUAAUCAUCUUUCCUUCCUGGAAUAGACAAUAAAUACUCUCCAAUGCCCAGGUUUUGCUCUUCCCAUCAGUUGACUGAAUGGAGAGGAAUUCAAGGACUUAGAGGAAGU
Molecule: long non-coding RNA, 334 nt
Organism: Diceros bicornis minor
Lineage: Eukaryota; Metazoa; Chordata; Mammalia; Perissodactyla; Rhinocerotidae
Exons: 3
Source: RefSeq, a predicted model, not a curated record